CGGGAAAUAGCUCAGCUUGGUAGAGCACUUGGUUUGGGACCAAGGGGUCGCAGGUUCGAAUCCUGUUUUCCCGAC
Molecule: transfer RNA, 75 nt
Filed under: Aerococcus viridans
Lineage: Bacteria; Bacillati; Bacillota; Bacilli; Lactobacillales; Aerococcaceae
Description: tRNA-Pro(tgg)
Rfam family: tRNA
About the family: Transfer RNA (tRNA) molecules are approximately 80 nucleotides in length.
Source: RNAcentral